UUGACUGGGGCGGUCUCCUCCUAAAGAGUAACGGAGGAGCACGAAGGUUGGCUAAUCCUGGUCGGACAUCAGGAGGUUAGUGCAAUGGCAUAAGCCAGCUUGACUGCGAGCGUGACGGCGCGAGCAGGUGCGAAAGCAGGUCAUAGUGAUCCGGUGGUUCUGAAUGGAAGGGCCAUCGCUCAACGGAUAAAAGGUACUCCGGGGAUAACAGGCUGAUACCGCCCAAGAGUUCAUAUCGACGGCGGUGUUUGGCACCUCGAUGUCGGCUCAUCACAUCCUGGGGCUGAAGUAGGUCCCAAGGGUAUGGCUGUUCGCCAUUUAAAGUGGUACGCGAGCUGGGUUUAGAACGUCGUGAGACAGUUCGGUCCCUAUCUGCCGUGGGCGCUGGAGAACUGAGGGGGGCUGCUCCUAGUACGAGAGGACCGGAGUGGACGCAUCACUGGUGUUCGGGUUGUCAUGCCAAUGGCACUGCCCGGUAGCUAAAUGCGGAAGAGAUAAGUGCUGAAAGCAUCUAAGCACGAAACUUGCCCCGAGAUGAGUUCUCCCUGACUCCUUGAGAGUCCUGAAGGAACGUUGAAGACGACGACGUUGAUAGGCCGGGUGUGUAAGCGCAGCGAUGCGUUGAGCUAACCGGUACUAAUGAACCGUGAGGCUUAACCUUACAACGCCGAAG
This 673-nucleotide ribosomal RNA is filed under the name Escherichia coli. RNAcentral's name for it is "partial 23S ribosomal RNA". It matches the Rfam family "Bacterial large subunit ribosomal RNA", at positions 2270 to 2925 of the family's 2925-position model. Lineage: Bacteria; Pseudomonadati; Pseudomonadota; Gammaproteobacteria; Enterobacterales; Enterobacteriaceae. The record is from RNAcentral.